GUCCGUCCCGAGCGCGCAGCCGCGGCAGGCCAGGUCAGAGCAGCCCACCAUGGGAUGGGGAGGGGGUGGAGGCUGCACCCCGCGCCCACCCAUCCAUCAGCAGCCGCCGGAGCGCCGCGUGGUCACCGUUGUCUUCCUCGGCCUCCUGCUGGACCUCCUGGCCUUCACGCUGCUGCUGCCCCUGCUGCCUGGGCUGUUGGAGAGCCACGGCCGUGCCCACGACCCCCUCUAUGGCUCCUGGCAGGGCGGGGUGGACUGGUUUGCCACCGCCAUCGGUAUGCCAGUGGAGAAGAGGUACAACAGCGUCCUGUUCGGAGGUCUCAUUGGCUCAGCCUUCUCUGUCCUGCAGUUUCUGUGUGCGCCACUCACUGGGGCCACCUCUGACUGCUUGGGGAGGCGCCCGGUGAUGCUGCUGUGCCUGGUAUGUCCCUGGGCCUGGGUGCCCAUGGGGAAGCCUCCUCCCACCCAGCCAGUAGCGCCAUGGGGUUAGAUGGGGAGAGGGAGGUGGCUGUGGGCCCCUCAUGGCCACUGGUUGGCCCUCAUCGCAUCCUGGAGGGGGUUCUCUGGGGGACCAGUGGCUCCUGUUACAGAGCCAGGCUUUCAAGGAGCUGCUUCUGGCCCCUAGGAAGGCAUUGAGAACACAAGUGGCCCUCAGAUGCUUCGAAAUAGGGCAGGGUCGAGGGGUGUUGCCUGGGUUGCCAAGCCCUACUCUGGGCCACUCCUGGCCUUAAGUGACCGCCCCUGCCCCUUGGCCCCUGCCCCUGGGCAGAUGGGUGUGGCCACCUCAUAUGCAGUCUGGGCCACCUCUCGGAGCUUUGCGGCCUUCCUGGCCUCCAGGCUGAUUGGGGGCAUCAGCAAAGGGAACGUGAGCCUCUCCACGGCCAUCGUUGCUGACCUGGGCUCGCCUCUGGCCCGCAGUCAAGGCAUGGCGGUCAUUGGGGUGGCCUUCUCGCUGGGCUUCACCCUGGGCCCUAUGCUCGGAGCCUCCCUGCCCCUGGAAAUGGCACCCUGGUUUGCCCUGCUCUUCGCAGCCUCCGACCUGCUGUUCAUCUUCUGCUUCCUGCCGGAGACGCUGCCCCUGGAGAAACGGGCGCCCUCUAUCGCCCUGGGCUUUCGUGAUGCGGCCGAUCUGCUCAGCCCCCUGGCCCUGCUGCGCUUCUCGGCUGUCGCUCGUGGCCA
Molecule: small RNA, 1179 nt
Filed under: Pongo abelii (Sumatran orangutan)
Lineage: Eukaryota; Metazoa; Chordata; Mammalia; Primates; Hominidae
Description: retained intron
Source: RNAcentral